CCUACGGGGGGCAGCAGUGGGGAAUAUUGCACAAUGGGGGAAACCCUGAUGCAGCGACGCCGCGUGAGCGAUGAAGUAUUUCGGUAUGUAAAGCUCUAUCAGCAGGGAAGAAAAUGACGGUACCUGACUAAGAAGCCCCGGCUAACUAUGUGCCAGCAGCCGCGGUAAUACGUAGGGGGCAAGCGUUAUCCGGAUUUACUGGGUGUAAAGGGAGCGUAGACGGCAGGGCAAGUCUGGAGUGAAAGGCAGGGGCCCAACCCCUGGACUGCUCUGGAAACUGUCCGGCUGGAGUGCAGGAGAGGUAA
RNAcentral lists this ribosomal RNA (305 nucleotides) under uncultured bacterium. RNAcentral's name for it is "bacterial SSU rRNA". It matches the Rfam family "Bacterial small subunit ribosomal RNA", at positions 338 to 660 of the family's 1533-position model. The record is from RNAcentral.